RNAcentral lists this non-coding RNA (25 nucleotides) under Mus musculus (house mouse). Lineage: Eukaryota; Metazoa; Chordata; Mammalia; Rodentia; Muridae. The record is from RNAcentral.
UGGAAAUCCGCUUGGGCACAACCCA